This 433-nucleotide ribosomal RNA is filed under the name uncultured bacterium. RNAcentral describes it as "partial 16S ribosomal RNA". It matches the Rfam family "Bacterial small subunit ribosomal RNA", at positions 29 to 507 of the family's 1533-position model. The record is from RNAcentral.
AGCGAACGCUGGCGGCAGGCUUAACACAUGCAAGUCGAACGCAUCCUUCGGGGUGAGUGGCAGACGGGUGAGUAACACGUGGGAACGUACCCUUCGAUCUGGGAUAACUUCGGGAAACUGGAGCUAAUACCGGAUACGCCCUUUUGGGGAAAGGUUUACUGUCGAAGGAUCGGCCCGCGUCUGAUUAGCUAGUUGGUGGGGUAACGGCCUACCAAGGCGACGAUCAGUAGCUGGUCUGAGAGGAUGAUCAGCCACACUAGGACUGAGACACGGCCCAGACUCCUACGGGAGGCAGCAGUGGGGAAUAUUGGACAAUGGGCGCAAGCCUGAUCCAGCCAUGCCGCGUGAGUGAUGAAGGCCUUAGGGUUGUAAAGCUCUUUUGUCCGGGACGAUAAUGACGGUACCGGAAGAAUAAGCCCCGGCUAACUUCGUG